Molecule: ribosomal RNA, 449 nt
Filed under: uncultured bacterium
Lineage: Bacteria
Description: partial 16S ribosomal RNA
Rfam family: Bacterial small subunit ribosomal RNA
Source: RNAcentral
AGCGAACGCUGGCGGCAGGCUUAACACAUGCAAGUCGAACGCCAUCUUCGGAUGGAGUGGCAGACGGGUGAGUAACGCGUGGGAACGUACCUUUUGGUUCGGAAUAUUCUCGGGAAACUGAGAGCAAUACCGAAUAAGCCCUUAGGGGGAAAGAUUUAUUGCCAAAAGAUCGGCCCGCGUUAGAUUAGGUAGUUGGUAGGGUAAUGGCCUACCAAGCCUACGAUCUAUAGCUGGUCUGAGAGGAUGAUCAGCCACAUUGGGACUGAGACACGGCCCAAACUCCUACGGGAGGCAGCAGUGGGGAAUAUUGGACAAUGGGCGCAAGCCUGAUCCAGCCAUGCCGCGUGAAUGAUGAAGGCCUUAGGGUUGUAAAACUCUUUCAACGGGGACGAUAAUGACGGUACCCGUAGAAGAAGCCCCGGCUAACUUCGUGCCAGCCGCCGCGGUAA